Molecule: transfer RNA, 71 nt
Filed under: bovine gut metagenome
Rfam family: tRNA
About the family: Transfer RNA (tRNA) molecules are approximately 80 nucleotides in length. Their secondary structure includes four short double-helical elements and three loops (D, anti-codon, and T loops). Further hydrogen bonds mediate the characteristic L-shaped molecular structure. tRNAs have two regions of fundamental functional importance: the anti-codon, which is responsible for specific mRNA codon recognition, and the 3' end, to which the tRNAs corresponding amino acid is attached (by aminoacyl-tRNA synthetases). tRNAs cope with the degeneracy of the genetic code in two manners: having more than one tRNA (with a specific anti-codon) for a particular amino acid; and 'wobble' base-pairing, i.e. permitting non-standard base-pairing at the 3rd anti-codon position.
Source: RNAcentral
GAGCAUAGCUCAGCUGGUUAGAGCACUUGCCUUACAAGCAAGGGGUCACAGGUUCGAGCCCUGUUGUUCCC